AACCGUGACAUGUUGACACUUUAUUUCCACACAUUUCCUGCGAGCGAGCCGCUCAACUUAUCUUCCUCGUUUUGACUUCCCCUUUGCGGCAAUGCAGCCGAAAUGCUCCGACCGAUUGUCAGUGUCAGCUCGUCGCAGUCAAAGGACGGGAGCGGCGAGAGUCCUCGGCCCUCAGCAGCAACACCCACACGCCGCAGGAGUCAAGUCUGAUUCGGGGAGAUCCGGCCCCCCACUUAGUGUAUUUGACAAGCUGAGUCGGACACUCUGAUUCUGUGAGUGUCAGUUUGUCAAAUACCCGAAGUGAGGCGUCACUGGCCUACCAGACGACGCCGACCUCAACCGAGAAGCCAAGUCAACGAGCCAGGAGGGAACCUCUUCUCUACCGAUCUGUUCCAUUUGUAUCUUAUUGAUGAAUCACGAAGGAAAUCGGCCAAAAGCUUGUGUCCAUGUGAACAAAUUAUUUGAGGUGGUUUAUGAAAGAAUAUGUCGUGUGGUACGACUGAAUGUCAAAAUAUGUGAAUAAUACACAAUGGAAGAAAUUCUGCUCAAUUAUUAUUGCUGAACUUUGUGUGUGUGCGCGUGCGUGUGUGUGUGUGUUACUGGAAACAAAUACUGUGAAAUCAUUACCGCUGUUAUUGAUUUCUUUUCACCAUUAUGAAAUCCUAUCUGAACCACUUUGGUACCAUGCAAAUAAAAAUACACGAAUAUAGGUUUUCUGCUGAGGUCAAAGGGGGUUGCGCUCAGGUUCAUCAUGACACACUUCUCAAAGACACAAAACGCUUAUCAGCCUUUUGCGCGCUUCCUGUUCUUGUGGACAAGCCGGGUUAUAAUUGUUUUGGAUUUUUAAUUUUUUUUAAAUUAUGAUUACUUUUUAUUUCAUUUGACUUCAGUGUUUUAUCUUCAGUUAGUUUUAUUUUUUUAAUUAAGUUUUUAUGAUUCAAAAAUCCUUCUUUUACGUUUUUUGUUAGUUUUAUUAUUAGUUUUAGGUUUUUUUAUAUAGAGAGUAAAAACUUGAAAACAACGUCACUCAGCAUUGUGUAAUAAAACAAUCUAUAAUUCUCA
Long non-coding RNA from Hippocampus comes (tiger tail seahorse), 1062 nucleotides. RefSeq lists it as uncharacterized. The transcript has 2 exons. NCBI's taxonomy places the organism in Eukaryota, Metazoa, Chordata, Actinopteri, Syngnathiformes, Syngnathidae. The record is from RefSeq and is a predicted model, not a curated record.